This 524-nucleotide ribosomal RNA is filed under the name Paraulacizes irrorata. RNAcentral describes it as "eukaryotic LSU rRNA". It matches the Rfam family "Eukaryotic large subunit ribosomal RNA", at positions 666 to 1138 of the family's 3401-position model. Lineage: Eukaryota; Metazoa; Arthropoda; Insecta; Hemiptera; Cicadellidae. The record is from RNAcentral.
CCAAGGAGUCUAACAUGUGCGCGAGUCAUUUGGGUGCUUGAAACACCUAAAGGCGCAAUGAAAUUGAAGGCUUGACUUGUCAAACCGAGGGAGGAUGGACGCGCGGCCCAAGUGGCGGCGUCCCGCACUCCCGGGGCGUCUCGUUCUCAUUGCGAGGAGAGGCGCACCCAGAGCGUACACGUUGGGACCCGAAAGAUGGUGAACUAUGCCUGGCCAGGACGAAGUCAGGGGAAACCCUGAUGGAGGUCCGUAGCGAUUCUGACGUGCAAAUCGAUCGUCAGAGCUGGGUAUAGGGGCGAAAGACUAAUCGAACCAUCUAGUAGCUGGUUCCCUCCGAAGUUUCCCUCAGGAUAGCUGGUGCUCGGAGGACGAAUCUCAUGCGGUAAAGCGAAUGAUUAGAGGCCUUGGGGCCGAAACGACCUCAACCUAUUCUCAAACUUUAAAUGGGUGAGACCUCCGGCAUGCUUGAACACACAUUCUUGAUGCCGGAGUCUCGGAUCCAGAGUACCAAGUGGGCCAAUUUU